This 464-nucleotide ribosomal RNA is filed under the name Bhargavaea cecembensis. RNAcentral describes it as "bacterial SSU rRNA". It matches the Rfam family "Bacterial small subunit ribosomal RNA", at positions 56 to 504 of the family's 1533-position model. The record is from RNAcentral. Lineage: Bacteria; Bacillati; Bacillota; Bacilli; Caryophanales; Caryophanaceae.
UGCAAGUCGAGCGGAUGACGAGGAGCUUGCUCCUCUGAUUCAGCGGCGGACGGGUGAGUAACACGUGGGCAACCUGCCUGCAAGAUCGGGAUAACUCCGGGAAACCGGGGCUAAUACCGGAUGGUUCCUUCCUCCGCAUGGAGGAAGGCGGAAAGACGGUUUCGGCUGUCACUUGCAGAUGGGCCCGCGGCGCAUUAGCUAGUUGGUGGGGUAAUGGCCCACCAAGGCGACGAUGCGUAGCCGACCUGAGAGGGUGAUCGGCCACACUGGGACUGAGACACGGCCCAGACUCCUACGGGAGGCAGCAGUAGGGAAUCUUCCGCAAUGGACGAAAGUCUGACGGAGCAACGCCGCGUGAGCGAAGAAGGCCUUCGGGUCGUAAAGCUCUGUUGUAAGGGAAGAACAAGCAUCGGUUAACUGCCGGUGCCCUGACGGUACCUUACCAGAAAGCCACGGCUAACUAC